RNAcentral lists this non-coding RNA (153 nucleotides) under [Eubacterium] cellulosolvens. RNAcentral describes it as "Eubacterium cellulosolvens FMN sequence". It matches the Rfam family "FMN riboswitch aptamer (RFN element)". Rfam says of the family: The RFN element is a highly conserved domain that is found frequently in the 5'-untranslated regions of prokaryotic mRNAs that encode for flavin mononucleotide (FMN) biosynthesis and transport proteins. This element is a metabolite-dependent riboswitch that directly binds FMN in the absence of proteins. In Bacillus subtilis, the riboswitch most likely controls gene expression by causing premature transcription termination within the 5' untranslated region of the ribDEAHT operon and precluding access to the ribosome-binding site of ypaA mRNA. Lineage: Bacteria; Bacillati; Bacillota; Clostridia; Eubacteriales; Eubacteriaceae. The record is from RNAcentral.
AACGAACUUCAGGGCAGGGUGAAAUUCCCGAUCGGCGGUAAAGUCCGCAAGCCUUGUGCAACGUUUCUGAACCUACAGUUUUGAACGCUGCAUCGGGCAGACCCGGUGAGAUUCCGGGACCGACAGUAUAGUCUGGAUGGAAGAAGAAUCGUU